UUACGGCCAUAUCACGUUGAACACCGGUUCCCGUACGAUCACCAAAGUUAAGUAUCAUCAAACCUAGCCAGUACCAAGAUGGGAGAUCGCUUGGGAAUAACAAAUGCUGUAA
Acanthosepion pharaonis is the source of this 112-nucleotide non-coding RNA. The record is from the annotation of a GenBank genome assembly. NCBI's taxonomy places the organism in Eukaryota, Metazoa, Mollusca, Cephalopoda, Sepiida, Sepiidae.